Molecule: long non-coding RNA, 3055 nt
Organism: Oreochromis niloticus (Nile tilapia)
Lineage: Eukaryota; Metazoa; Chordata; Actinopteri; Cichliformes; Cichlidae
Exons: 4
Source: RefSeq, a predicted model, not a curated record
AUUCACAGCAGUAGUUAUAAACAAUUCCUUCCAUGUUUAAUAAGACACUAUAACUCCCACAACACUCCCAAAACAGGACGUAGACAUGACUGCCGCAAAAAACAGGGGCAGCUGGCUCAGUGACGUUGGCCAAUCUUCUGACUCCAUCCACGGUUCAUCCACGUUUGAAAACUGGCUUGAUGACGCAUCAUAUGCGCAAGUGACUGCGGUCAAGUGAGCCGUCAUUUGUGAGCCGCGGUCAAGCCAGCCGCUUCUUAUCCGCCGCAUAAAUUUUCUUGCGCUUUUACACUAGCCUUUACGGUAGCGCCUUUUCGCUUUAUAUCCCGAUCAGAUCCCUUAGUGCAGCUGCCGUACCAUACCGUGAUGCAGUAAGUUAGCAGGCUCUCAAUGGGCGAGUGGUGGAAGGUCAGCAGAGGAUGUCUGGGAUGAUUGUAUUAAAGGCUGAGCUGUAGUCCACGAAGAGCUUUUGAACGUAGCUCUGCCGCUGUUCUAGGUGACUCAGCACAGAGUGGAGGGCGAUGGCGUCUUCUGUGGAUCUGUUUGCGCGGUAUGCAAACUGGUGGGGGUCGAAUUCUGAGGGAGGUAAUCCUUGGUGUGCUGAAGGACUAGUCUCUCAAAGCAUUUCAUGAUUACGGCUGUGAGGGCCACAAGGUGAUAAUAGUUCAGGCUGGUGAUGGGAGACUUCUUUGGCAAUGGGAUGACUGUGGCUGAUUUUAGACGGGAUGGCUGCUUCAUCCAGUGAGAGGUUGAAGAUUCUGGUGAAGAUGAGGGUGAGCUGGUGGGCACAUGCUCUUAGCACUUUACCAGGUAUUCCGUCUGGACCGGACGCCUUCCUGGGGUUCACUGCUAGGAACACACGUCUGACAUCGUGCUCCGUUACUGUGAAUGGAGCGGUGCAGGAACCAGGUGAUACGCAAAGAUGUCCCAUGAUGCUCUUUGACAGUAUAUCAGAUGGAAUCAAAUCAGCAGUUGAGAGCAGCAGGUAAGUCACUGACUGAAGUCGUUGACUGUUUUCUUAGUCUGUGUAAGUGGAAACACAGAGGACAAAAUGAGGCAGGAUGUGAAACAUCUUGUUUUAUCACCUGUUUAUAGGACUGCUUAUUCUUGUUGCAUUCGUUUAUAUGUAUUUCUAUAUGUGUUUGUGUGUGACUGCAUGCACAAAAAAAGUGUGAAGAAUCAGAGUGACGUCUGUAUCUUAUCAGCCCCAUGAUGUUUUACUUUAUUCAUGUAUACUUAUCUGUGCAGGAGAAUCAAGAAGCAGUCAGUACUGAAGUGAGUACAAUCCUUCAACUCUUUGAGGGACUAAACUUUGGAAACAAACCAUCCCAGCGGUCUCUAAGGAAGAAAACUGACUACUUGAAGUAUGGAGAGAAACAAGAAAACCCUUUCCUUGUUUAUUCUGCUGCCACUUCUACUGGUCUGCAAAAAUGAGGAGUGUCCCUGAGGAGGCUGUUGAACAGUUCAAGCUGCACCGCUUUAGUCUUGUACUGAGCGGUGAUACAUGUACUCAUUAUCUGUCUUAAAGAAGCUUCAUCUCUUCUCUCUUUAUGGCUGCUCUCUGUUUAUACCUACUCUGUCUGAUUGGCUAUUUGUGACUCCAAUCUGUGACUUUAAAUCAAAUUUGAAGUUUGACAAACAUUUUUUUCCAGUUUCUGUCUUUCCAUGAGUUGUCCCUUAAUCUGAACUGCAACCAAAUGAAGAGUGGAAUUACUUCCUUCAAGCCAUCCUGUCAUAUAAAGGUGAAUCCUCCUGCGGAGCCAAAGGUCAACUUCACCUCUGUUUCCUGGUUGUCCCAAGUCCCUGAACAUGAAAGGAUCAGUUCAUACAGAAGUGAAGUGCAGUGGAAGAAGCAGGAUCAGUCAUGGAGUGAUCCUGCUGUGCGCAAAAACGUGGCAUUCAAUGUGGACAGGAGUGCAAGGCAGAGCUGGAGCCAGAUUUGCUGAUACGAGGCGAGAGGUACGAGGCACGCGUUCGUGUGCGGUCUAUUUUUCAGCACCGCAAGGGAGCCUGGAGUGACUGGAGCCCCACUGCAUCAUGGGAGUCACCAGCAGGAAGAAAGAAAAAAACUAAGCAUGUGGAAUUGCUAUAAAUUUUCACAGCACACAUUGCAACCUGUACCCAGAUAUUUAAAAUCACAGAUGUACGGGAUGUAUGUAAAACUUAGGUUUUUGGUAGCACUUGUGGAAUUAAAGAAAUUAUUUUACUGCUACUAUUCAUAAUCAUCAUCAUUAAUCAUUGCAUUAAUCAUUAUUUCAUCAAAGCAUUUGUUGAAGCUGUUGGCAUAAUGUUACAAUUUGGAUUACAGGUGUUAUCAUCAUCACAUACUAACCUUUUCAUUACAGGUCCAGUCAUAAUCAUUUUCUACACACCUUGUAUUUUGUGCUUAUUUAAAGAGUUGAAGCUCGGUCAGUUAGUUGAAGGUCGGAAGCUUUGUUUUGCGCUAGGUUCAGACAAUCUAUUGUGAAAGUGACUUUGAGCUAUGGAAAGAACACGCUUACAAAACACAUAUACCAUGUUAUUCAUGAUUAUCUUUUAUUCAUUUAUAUCCUUUUUAUUAAGCUUUGAGCAGUGGCAUUUGAUUAGAACAUUAAUUCAACAUAGUACAUAUAUAGUUUCAUUUAGGUUAUUGCACACAUGAGAGUGGCCUCUGCCCUCACAGACAGAGUGCGUUUGAGAUCGAGACACACACACACAAACAGUAGUUAGACUCAUCUUUAGGUAAGAGUUCAAAUAAUAAGUUUGCAAAACCUUGUAACUGCAAAAUCAUGUCUGCAUAAGGGACAGUUUGUUCUAGGGGAUAAGCGAGAGUUGAAAGAUUAACGGGAAGCACCUGGCCUCGAGACGGAGAAGAUGUCCUUCUUAAAUGUGUCAAAAGUCGUCAACAGAACAUGUGUGGUUUUGAAACUUAUGUCUGUAUCGUACCUUCUUGACGCAUGAGGGGGCGUUCUAAUGCCCUGAUAUUAUAAAACAAUUGAUUGUAUAGGUUUGGGGUGAGAUUUACAGCUGAUGUUGCAGCGUACAUCUCCCACGCGUGUUCAUUAAAAAUCAUCGUUUG